RNAcentral lists this transfer RNA (66 nucleotides) under Ergaula capucina. Its description in RNAcentral is "tRNA-Val". Lineage: Eukaryota; Metazoa; Arthropoda; Insecta; Blattodea; Corydiidae. The record is from RNAcentral.
CAAAUUAUUCUUAGGGAAUUUUUCAUUUACAUUGAAGAGUAUUUCGUGCAAUUCGAUAUAAUUUGA